UGUUAAACAUAUGGACACAGCCCAGAACUGAUGUAGGAAUUUCUCCUUUUGAAAUGCUAUAUGGUAUACCCUAUGACUUGGAAUUGCCACUUGAUCACCCUCAAUUCUAAUUAAGACUUGGAAAGAGACUGCUUUAACACCACGAUGGGGAAGGCCCCUAUGUUGUUUUGCUUACCACAGAAACGGCUGUUCGAACUGCGGAGAAAGGAUGGACGCAUGCCAGCCGUGUGAAAGGACCAAUCCGGGAAGGUGAUAAUUAUACCAAGGAUUCUAUACCACCCUGAGGAUUAUAUGUACACCCAGACACAGUGGAAAGUCAUCAUCUGGAAAGAUGGGAACCAUUCAUGGCUCUAACUUUGGCCACCCUAAUAAUCCUGGGAGGAGCUGGAGUGGGGACCAGGGUAGCCUCAUUGGUUAAACAAAAUCAAGAAUUUACUUCCUUAUGCAUUGCUGUGGACGAGGACCUGACCCAAAUUGAACAAUCCAUCUCGGCCCUGGAAAAUCUAUCAGGUUGCUUUCAGAGGUAGUGUUACAAAAUCAUAGGGGAUUAGAUUUGGUAUUUUUUU
Non-coding RNA from Anas platyrhynchos (mallard), 566 nucleotides. NCBI's taxonomy places the organism in Eukaryota, Metazoa, Chordata, Aves, Anseriformes, Anatidae. The record is from RefSeq and is a predicted model, not a curated record.